GCUCACCAAGGCGACGAUCUGUAGCGGGUCUGAGAGGAUGAUCCGCCACACUGGAACUGAGACACGGUCCAGACUCCUACGGGAGGCAGCAGUGGGGAAUUUUGGACAAUGGGGGCAACCCUGAUCCAGCCAUGCCGCGUGAGUGAAGAAGGCCUUCGGGUUGUAAAGCUCUUUCGGCCGGGAAGAAAUCGUAUGGGCUAAUACCCUGUGCGGAUGACGGUACCGGCAUAAGAAGCACCGGCUAACUACGUGCCAGCAGCCGCGGUAAUACGUAGGGUGCGAGCGUUAAUCGGAAUUACUGGGCGUAAAGCGUGCGCAGGCGGUUUGAUAAGACAGGCGUGAAAUCCCCGGGCUCAACCUGGGAACUGCGUUUGUGACUGUCUCACUAGAGUACGGCAGAGGGGGGUGGAAUUCCACGUGUAGCAGUGAAAUGCGUAGAGAUGUGGAGGAACACCAAUGGCGAAGGCAGCCCCCUGGGUCGAUACUGACGCUCAUGCACGAAAGCGUGGGUAGCAAACAGGAUUAGAUACCCUGGUAGUCCACGCCCUAAACGAUGUCAACUAGGUGUUGGGAGGGUAAAACCUUUUAGUACCGGAGCUAACGCGUGAAGUUGACCGCCUGGGGAGUACGGCCGCAAGGUUAAAACUCAAAGGAAUUGACGGGGACCCGCACAAGCGGUGGAUGAUGUGGAUUAAUUCGAUGCAACGCGAAAAACCUUACCUACCCUUGACAUGUCCAGGAGCCCUUAGAGAUUUGGGUGUGCCCGAAAGGGAACUGGAACACAGGUGCUGCAUGGCUGUCGUCAGCUCGUGUCGUGAGAUGUUGGGUUAAGUCCCGCAACGAGCGCAACCCUUGUCGUUAAUUGCCAUCAUUUAGUUGGGCACUUUAGCGAGACUGCCGGUGACAAACCGGAGGAAGGUGGGGAUGACGUCAAGUCCUCAUGGCCCUUAUGGGUAGGGCUUCACACGUCAUACAAUGGUCGGUACAAAGGGUCGCCAACC
This 1001-nucleotide ribosomal RNA is filed under the name Polaromonas sp. RNAcentral's name for it is "bacterial SSU rRNA". It matches the Rfam family "Bacterial small subunit ribosomal RNA", at positions 263 to 1255 of the family's 1533-position model. The record is from RNAcentral. Lineage: Bacteria; Pseudomonadati; Pseudomonadota; Betaproteobacteria; Burkholderiales; Comamonadaceae.